RNAcentral lists this unclassified non-coding RNA (378 nucleotides) under Hevea brasiliensis (rubber tree). The record is from RNAcentral. Lineage: Eukaryota; Viridiplantae; Streptophyta; Magnoliopsida; Malpighiales; Euphorbiaceae.
UGCGAGAAUGAGCCCAGGAUCUGAUGCAUGGUAAAGCCGCGCACUAAGCUGCGAAGCAUAUACCAAGCGCUUUCUGCGUGUUGCCCAUGCACUCCACAUUCAGCGAGAAUAGAUUUAAUGAAGUCGUAAAGUUCUUUGUCGCCUGCCCGCCACUCGGCACAAUCAAUUGUGGCCGUUCUGGAUGUGGCAGCCCACAAGGCGGGACGGUCCAACGCAUACUGUCGCAUUUCUCGGGCAACCGACUUCAAGGCGUCAAAUGACGUUUGGUCCUUGCAUGCUGUCUUCAACCUAACGAGAAGGUCGCGAUACCCCUUUAUGGCGAAGAAUCUCCGCAAUUCCGGAAACGGAUAACGCUUGUCGCCGCAGAAAUCCUUUACC